UUACCAGAGUACUAUGAAUGCUUAAAAAUUUAAAACUCAAAGAACUUGGCGGUGUUUUAGACCACCCAGGGGAACCUGUCUCGUAAUCGAUAAUCCGCGUUACACCUGACCUCUUUUUGUUUUCAGUUUGUAUACCGUUGUCGUCAGGUAACUUUUUAGAAAUUAGAAGUUAGCAAUUAAAAUAUUGGUAAUUUAAUAUGUCAAAUCAAGGUGCAGCUAAUAAAGGGGGGAGGAUGGGUUACAAUUAUAUAAUUUAUAAUGACGGAUAGAUAUAUGGAUAUAUAUUAAGUUAUAAGGAGGACUUGGAAGUAAAUUAAAGUAUAGAAAUAAUUUGAAUUAGGCUCUGAGACGUGU
RNAcentral lists this ribosomal RNA (354 nucleotides) under Myurella burchi. Its description in RNAcentral is "partial 12S ribosomal RNA". The record is from RNAcentral. Lineage: Eukaryota; Metazoa; Mollusca; Gastropoda; Neogastropoda; Terebridae.